CUUUUCGCUCACUCAGUCAGCUACAAGAUACAACUUGAAGGCACCAAUUAAACAACAUAGUUUGCAAUUCAGCGAUUACAUUUCAAUUGAUGGGAAGUUGCAAACCUAAUCGAGAAGAGAAGGAAGAAGAUGUAUUUGGGUAUGUUAGUCGCCUGCUUAAAGCUUUCAAAUUAGGUUCCGGAGCCUUUGGGUCCGAUACAGGAAUUUGAGUUGCAAUCUUCUUCAGGGUAAAGAUUGAAUCUUUUCUCAUGUAAAUUGAGGGGACUGAUGGGAAUUUAAAGAAAUGGGGUUUAUGUUGUUAGUUAAAACGGGAUGUGUGUCCUGCUAAACAAAGUUUGGGUCUUUUCUCAUGUAAAUUGAGAGGCUUGAAGGGAAUUUGAAGAGAUAGAACAGUAGAUGACGGAGCUUCAAACUCUUAUUUGGUUGGAGGGCAAUAUCGACAGAAAGAGUCCUCUGCAAAUUUCAACUACUCCACAAGAUUAUGGGCACUAAUUACGGAUUUACAGUGAUCAUGAUUUGACUGUGUGUGUAAAACCUCAAGAGGAAGUUGAUGAAGACAGGAUCAGUAAAAUGCCAGAUGAUGUUCUCUGCUUUCAGGUCAAGAUAGGUUGCUAUUCUGUACAUAUUCUUAAACACCUUUGUGGAGAGGAGACGUCACUUAUUCCAAAUGAUGAAGAACCCAGUUGUGAUGGCGUAAGCAGACUUGCAAACCAUACAUUUAGCCAUACGGGCAAGCAUUACCCCUGGAGCUGUAUUGAUCGUUAUGGCUGGAAGAUUCAAGGGCAAUAGGGUUGUCUUUUUGAAGCAUCAUUCUUCUUGCUUGCUUUUGGUCACUGUUAAGUUAUUGUUUUUCUUAACUAUGUGAGAAAUUGUUUUUACUUUUGGUUACCAAGUACUGCCUUUUGAUGAAUGUUACAUGUAGUUUGCUA
RNA transcript from Rosa chinensis, 929 nucleotides. RefSeq lists it as uncharacterized. The transcript is spliced from 6 exons. The record is from RefSeq and is a predicted model, not a curated record. NCBI's taxonomy places the organism in Eukaryota, Viridiplantae, Streptophyta, Magnoliopsida, Rosales, Rosaceae.